GCGUGUGUGAAGAAGGCCUUAGUGGUUGUAAAGCACUUUACUGCGACGAGGAGGUACUUAGUUAAUACCCUAUAGAUAGUGGACGUUACUCGCAGAAUAAGCACCAGGCUAACUCUGUGCCAGCAGCCGCGGUAAUACAGAGGGUGCGAGCGUUAAUCGGAUUUACUGGGCGUAAAGCGUGCGUAGGCGGCUUAUUAAGUCGGAUGUGAAAUCCCCGAGCUUAACUUGGGAAUUGCAUUCGAUACUGGUGAGCUAGAGUAUGGGAGAGGAUGGUAGAAUUCCAGGUGUAGCGGUGAAAUGCGUAGAGAUCUGGAGGAAUACCGAUGGCGAAGGCAGCCAUCUGGCCUAAUACUGACGCUGAGGUACGAAAGCAUGGGGAGCAAACAGGAUUAGAUACCCUGGUAGUCCAUGCCGUAAACGAUGUCUACUAGCCGUUGGGGCCUUUGAGGCUUUAGUGGCGCAGCUAACGCGAUAAGUAGACCGCCUGGGGAGUACGGUCGCAAGACUAAAACUCAAAUGAAUUGACGGGGGCCCGCACAAGCGGUGGAGCAUGUGGUUUAAUUCGAUGGCACGCGAAGAACUUACUGGCCUUGACUCUAGAACUUCCAGAGAUGGUGGUGCUUCGGGAUCUAGAUCGGUGCUCUGGCUGUCGCAGCUCGUGUCGGGAGAGUGGGUUAAGUCCGCAU
RNAcentral lists this ribosomal RNA (686 nucleotides) under uncultured bacterium. Its description in RNAcentral is "bacterial SSU rRNA". It matches the Rfam family "Bacterial small subunit ribosomal RNA", at positions 399 to 1091 of the family's 1533-position model. The record is from RNAcentral.